AUUGAACGCUGGCGGCAGGCCUAACACAUGCAAGUCGAACGAGUGGCGGACGGGUGAGUAAUGUCUGGGAAACUGCCUGAUGGAGGGGGAUAACUACUGGAAACGGUAGCUAAUACCGCAUACCAUCGGAUGUGCCCAGAUGGGAUUAGCUAGUAGGUGGGGUAAAGGCUCACCUAGGCGACGAUCCCUAGCUGGUCUGUGAGGAUGACUGGCCACACGCGAACUGAGACACGGUCCAUACUCCUACGGGAGGCAGCAGGGGGGAAGAUGGCACAAUGGGUGCAAGCCGGAUGCAGCCAUGCCGCGUGUAUGAAGAAGGCCUUCGGGUUGUAAAGUACGUUCAGCGGGGAGGCGUUACCCGCAGAAGAAGCACCGGCUAACUCCGUGCCAGCAGCCGCGGUAAUAC
This 406-nucleotide ribosomal RNA is filed under the name uncultured bacterium. RNAcentral describes it as "partial 16S ribosomal RNA". It matches the Rfam family "Bacterial small subunit ribosomal RNA", at positions 30 to 526 of the family's 1533-position model. The record is from RNAcentral.